GCCAGUUUGGCUCAGUGGAUAGAGCAUUGGCCUGUGGACCGAAUGGUCCCAGGUUUGAUUCCUGUCAAGGGCA
RNAcentral lists this transfer RNA (73 nucleotides) under Myotis brandtii (Brandt's bat). It matches the Rfam family "tRNA". From Rfam's summary of the family: Transfer RNA (tRNA) molecules are approximately 80 nucleotides in length. Their secondary structure includes four short double-helical elements and three loops (D, anti-codon, and T loops). The record is from Rfam by way of RNAcentral. Lineage: Eukaryota; Metazoa; Chordata; Mammalia; Chiroptera; Vespertilionidae.